Molecule: long non-coding RNA, 91 nt
Organism: Ipomoea nil (Japanese morning glory)
Lineage: Eukaryota; Viridiplantae; Streptophyta; Magnoliopsida; Solanales; Convolvulaceae
Exons: 3
Source: RefSeq, a predicted model, not a curated record
UUAGAUAAAAGUUAGAACGAACUCGUAAUUGGUUGGCAACAUUAGACUUAAAAUGCAGAAUUAGUAAUAGUAAUUGAUUCAUGUUCCCAGG